Long non-coding RNA from Gopherus agassizii (Agassiz's desert tortoise), 1752 nucleotides. Lineage: Eukaryota; Metazoa; Chordata; Testudines; Testudinidae. The record is from Ensembl.
UAGUCAGGCAAGAGCUGACCAGGCUCAAACACCAAUAUAGUGUGAUCGUUCACACCGCCUAGACUAGCGGUGCUGCCAAACUGCCCGUGCUACGGCAUGAGAUUUGGCUGCAUCUAGAAAGAACGAGAUGUCAGAGCUGGGUUGUGGUGACUUCACUUAAGCACAAUGCAUUGGAUACAAUUUUAUCUGAUGUCGAAGGAGGGCUGAACUUGCUGUCUAUUGUGAAGUUGGCGUCAGUCAGAUUGGUGAUACGAAUUGGAGACUUUGGGGCUAAAGAUAUGCAGGACCCACUUUUUCCCUGGGGCAAUACUUUGGAGUGCCAGUGCCUGCACACACAGGCAUUCACCACCUGCUUCUGGCCUCCUUCCAUGCACCACAUCUACACACAACACUAUAACAUCCUUAACACUCUUGAGAAAUGCACAACUCUUUCCAACAGACUGCAAAAGCAGAAGACAACAUUCUAGGACAUGGGAAUUGCCUCAACCUACUCCACUUAUGCUGAUGUUCCUCCCAGAUCAGCAUUUCGAACCCAACAUUCUGCAUUGAACAGUUCCACUCUGCACAUUCUCUAUUGGCGCAUUUGGCUACUCAGUGGCACACUCAGGAUUUGCACGAGGGCUUUCUAUUCCUACCCAAAGGAAUUCACUUGUACUGUACAAAAUUUAAUCAAAGCUAAAUUGUUGGAGCUUAUUAAAGACUCUGCCAUCUCUUUGUGCUACUUCAUCUACCUUAAAAAAAAAAGCUGCUGAAGAUCUGAUGCCAGGUGAAGCUGCUGUCUAUACAUGGCAAAGAUAAUAAGGUCUUUCAGCUCUCUGCUUGUAAAAAUUUAUACCAGUAUGUGGUCCUGGUGACUAAAAUUACAGGCAUUUAGACUGUCAGACAGGGAAAAACUAAUAUUAAAAUAGCAAAGCGAUGCUGUCGUGGUAAUAGUUAUUAGGUCUUUUAUUUCUUAAAAUAGCCUGGUUGUAGAAGGUUAUUUUGUAGCAGGUAUGUUAAUAAGGGGUCUGCAGUAUUUUGCAGCUCAUUAAUUGUUGAUUACAUAAGUGGUUUUGAAUGAAGCCCCAUUGGAAAGUCCUGCCACAGAGUCAAGCUGACAGGAUUUUGCUUUCUUUUUUAUUAUAGUCAAUAGCUUAUUUGUAAAGAACAUAAUUGCUCUUUGUUCUCAUGUUAGGCUUUCAUUUUAUGGAGCAGGCUAACAUUUUAGAUCAACAAAAGUAUUUCUAACAAAAAAGAAAAGAAAAGAAAAGAAAAGAAAAGAAAAGAAAAGAAAAGAAAAGAAAAGAAAAGAGCACCAGGCAAAUCAUUACAGGACUGACUGACAUUACAGCCCUUUUGAUUGAUUUAGCACCCAUGGUCAACCAAAGAUCUUUGGCUAUUGACCCUGUAAUUGCUGUCUGAGGUCUUUUUAUUAAAAUCUAUAUAGAAGUUGAUAUAACAUUAUUAUACUGUCUCUCUUUAUUAGGAAUUUGCCCAUGAAGUGGUUGUACGACCAAAUACGUUGUACAGAUGCCUCCUACAUCUUUUUUUUUCUUCAACCAAAGCAUGUAGUCGUCUACCUAGUAUAUACAGCUCUUGUAUUUGUAUCUCUGUGUAAAUUAACAACUGGUGGAUUAUACAUGUUCUUUUCACAAUGACCAUUCCUAGUGACAUGUUAAUAAUAGCAGUAGAAUGUGUGUCCUGGACAAACUGCUUUGCACUAUAAAUAUGCACAUACUGUAUACGUUCACAUGAAGAAUAAGUGUGGAAACA